GCAGCAGGACUCCAGGCGGUAGCCAAGGCCGCGCCGUCCCUAUAAGAGCGGCCGCUGGCGCUCCGCACAGUAGUCACUGCAGACCGCGCACCACACACACCUCAAAGCACCAUGAAGGCUUUCGUCUGCUCUUUCCUCGUAGUGCUGCUGGUGGCGGCCGUGUUCGCCCAGGAGAAGGCCAAGGAGACCCUGAAGGGCGCCGAGGCCUACUACGCCUACGCCGCCCCCUACGCCUACAGCGCCUUCGGCUACCCCGCCGUCAGCGCCUACUCCGCCUACCCCUAUGGCGCCGUCGGCUACCCCUACUACUACCGCUAAGAAGACACAAAUUCUGACAUGAUGUCUCCUGUACUGAUUCUUCUGUUUGUCUCUUUUCUCUAAAUACAACUCUAUCACAAAACAAAAA
Molecule: long non-coding RNA, 406 nt
Organism: Schistocerca serialis cubense
Lineage: Eukaryota; Metazoa; Arthropoda; Insecta; Orthoptera; Acrididae
Exons: 2
Source: RefSeq, a predicted model, not a curated record